CCUACGGGUGGCAGCAGUGGGGAAUAUUGGGCAAUGGGCGCAAGCCUGACCCAGCAACGCCGCGUGCAGGAAGAAGGCCUUCGGGUUGUAAACUUCUUUUCUCAGGGACGAAGAAAGUGACGUUACCUGAGGAACAAGCCACGGCUAACUACGUGCCAGCCGCCGGCUUAAUACGUAGGUGGCAAGCGUUAUCCGGAUUUACUGGGUGUAAAGGGCGUGUAGGCGGGACUGCAAGUCAGAUGUGAAAUCCACGGGCUCAACCGGUGGACUGCAUUUGAAACUGGAGUUCUUGAGUACUGUAGAGGCAGACGGAAUUCCUGGUGUAGCGGUGAAAUGCGUAGAUAUUAGGAGGAACACCAGUGGCGAAGGCGGUCUGCUGGACAGCAACUGACGCUGAGGCGCGAAAGCGUGGGGAGCAAACAGGAUUAGAUACCCGGGUAGUC
This 443-nucleotide ribosomal RNA is filed under the name uncultured bacterium. Its description in RNAcentral is "partial 16S ribosomal RNA". It matches the Rfam family "Bacterial small subunit ribosomal RNA", at positions 338 to 795 of the family's 1533-position model. The record is from RNAcentral.